Molecule: ribosomal RNA, 448 nt
Filed under: uncultured bacterium
Lineage: Bacteria
Description: bacterial SSU rRNA
Rfam family: Bacterial small subunit ribosomal RNA
Source: RNAcentral
GCCAGACUCCUACGGGAGGCAGCAGUGGGGGAUAUUGCACAAUGGGGGAAACCCUGAUGCAGCGACGCCGCGUGGGCGAAGAAGUAUUUCGGUAUGUAAAGCCCUCUCAGCAGGGAAGAAGAAAUGACGGUACCUGAGUAAGAAGCACCGGCUAAAUACGUGCCAGCAGCCGCGGUAAUACGUAGGGGGCAAGCGUUAUCCGGAUUUACUGGGUGUAAAGGGGGCGCAGACGGCGAUGCAAGCCAGGAGUGAAAGCCCGGGGCCCAACCCCGGGACUGCUCUUGGAACUGCGUGGCUGGAGUGCAGGAGGGGCAGGCGGAAUUCCUGGUGUAGCGGUGAAAUGCGUAGAUAUCAGGAGGAACACCGGUGGCGAAGGCGGCCUGCUGGACUGCAACUGACGUUGAGGCCCGAAAGCGUGGGGAGCAAACAGGAUUAGAUACCCCCGUAA